Molecule: ribosomal RNA, 555 nt
Filed under: Curvularia spicifera
Lineage: Eukaryota; Fungi; Ascomycota; Dothideomycetes; Pleosporales; Pleosporaceae
Description: eukaryotic LSU rRNA
Rfam family: Eukaryotic large subunit ribosomal RNA
Source: RNAcentral
GCGGAGGAAAAGAAACCAACAGGGAUUGCCCUAGUAACGGCGAGUGAAGCGGCAACAGCUCAAAUUUGAAAUCUGGCUCUUUCAGAGUCCGAGUUGUAAUUUGCAGAGGGCGCUUUGGCUUUGGCAGCGGUCCAAGUUCCUUGGAACAGGACGUCACAGAGGGUGAGAAUCCCGUACGUGGUCGCUAGCUAUUGCCGUGUAAAGCCCCUUCGACGAGUCGAGUUGUUUGGGAAUGCAGCUCUAAAUGGGAGGUAAAUUUCUUCUAAAGCUAAAUAUUGGCCAGAGACCGAUAGCGCACAAGUAGAGUGAUCGAAAGAUGAAAAGCACUUUGGAAAGAGAGUCAAACAGCACGUGAAAUUGUUGAAAGGGAAGCGCUUGCAGCCAGACUUGCUUGCAGUUGCUCAUCCGGGCUUUUGCCCGGUGCACUCUUCUGCAGGCAGGCCAGCAUCAGUUUGGGCGGUGGGAUAAAGGUCUCUGUCACGUACCUUCCUUCGGGUUGGCCUUAUAGGGGAGACGCCAUACCACCAGCCUGGACUGAGGUCCGCGCAUCUGCUA